UUUCAGUUUUUGAACUUCAAGAGCUGUGUGCCGAAACCAUUAAUAAAAAGCUUGAGUCAUAAAGAGGAUAUCAGAGCUUUAAAUCUUCCAAGAAAGUUGCAAGAUAUGGUUCUGGAGUCGUAUAAAAUUGCUUCCAGCGAUUCUGUUUUCCCACUGCGAGUUCUUGGCGCAAAAGCCAUCAACGAGCAAAUGACUGAGAAUGAUAUAGAUGAUAUACGACUUCAUCCAAGGUUGCAAAGAAUCGUAUUGGAAUGCCGUGAGAUUCUCAACUAAUUCAUGUUGCAGUUAUACAUUUUGAGCAUUACAUUCAAGUUAAAUUGUGAUGAACAAUUUUUCAUUUUAUAUUUUUAGGAAUAUUUUUUAUCUUUUAUUAUUGUAUAUGAAUUUGUAAGAUGUUGUGUGCAUGUUUAUAUUUUUAUAAAUGCUUUUAGUGUAAUAACAUUUAAUGUAACAUUUGAACAGCUUGUUUCAUUAACAUAAAUAUGUUUCAUUAACUUGUUUCAUUAACAUAAUAAAUUUUUCAUAAAAAUGUCCAUUGGUUCAUUAAAAAUUAAAAAGAAAGAUGCAUACUGUACUACAAAUAAUAAAUAAUAAAAAAUUUUUAAAUAAUUCUUUCAGAUUUGAUGAAGUAGUUUUCGCUGUAAAUGGAGGAAUGGUGUAAGUGAAAGAAUUCUGAGAAAGAUAUAUGUGCACUUAAUUACUGUAAAAAUAUAAUUUUUCCAAUAAGUAUUGGUGUUUUAAACUAGGUUGACUUCUGCAACACGUCUUGGGUACGUUCUGAUUAUCCACAUUCCCAUUGAAAAGUCACAAGCUUGUUUGGGUAAAACGUUGAGUAUCUUUGUAGGUAUUUCAAAAAUGUGUCCAUUGCUGCUUAUUUUUUACAUUGAUUAAAGAAAAUGAAACACUUAAGAAAUUUUUCUGUAAUUUCACUGUGCUUGUUUCCCUUUGUACACUGACCCAAUUUUACUUUAAAAAUGGAGAAUUGCACAAGAAUUGUGCACCAGCCAUGAUCUCAUACCCAAACACAGCUGAAACUUCAAUAUGCACUUUAACAUACUGAAUAUAAAAGUGGGCAAACUCCACAGUUCCAUCAUGAUUCGUUGGGACAAAAAGAAAUACUAAUUAGAAAAGCAACUUGAAUUUCGAAAGUACAAAUAAAUUCCUUUCAAAUCAAAACGUGUGCUGCGCAUAUGCGGGGUUUGACAAGCAAAUACUUUUUGGCCAUAUGUGGUUGUGUUUCAUCAGUAUAUUUUAAAGGCUUUUUGAUUGGAAUGCAGAUAAUCAGAAAGUAUCACUUAAUAAAAGCAUGUAUUUUUUACAUGUAACCACAUUCUAAAAAAUAAAUGUUAGCAUUAAUAAAUAAUGUAUGAUAUUGAAGUUAAUUUUAUGGAAAUUUAAUUUCUCAAGAGAAAAGUUUUUUUUUUUAAGCGUAAUGUCUGAGAAAAUAGGAAGAACAGUGAAGUUAAUAAAAUAGUUUUUUAUCCUUUUUUUAUAAACUAUAAAUAAUUUUUAAAUUUAAAAGAAAGUAAUAAGGUGAAAUUGCAAAAUAUCAAACAUUUUACAAGGAUUGAUUUAUUAUUUCCAGCUGUCUAAAUUAUUAAUAUUUAAUAUGAAGAAUCUUUGAUUUAAAUUACUAAUGCAGAUCACUUGCACAUAGUACUCAUGUUUUGGCUAGGUCAUUCAUUAGAGUUAUGUGAAUGCUGUCAUAUUACAUCAUUUCAUUCUUUAUUGCUUGGAUUCUUUAUACUCACUUUAUGUGUUAAUGCUGUUCAAUAUUUUCUACUGGUCAUGUGGCAGGCCAUUGCAAUUUUUGGAUUGAUUUAGAUAAAAACCAUUUGUCCACUGUUCAAGCUUGAAGGCAUGAUGCAUUAUCAUCUUGAAAGAUUUAAACAUUCUGUAACAUGUAAUAGCUGGAUGAGGGAUUUUUUUCAAGCUUAUAAAUAUGUUGGACUGCAUUCAUUUUCUGUUCAACAGGAAAGUUGACCAAUUCCAUGUGUGGAUUUACAAUUCCAUAUCAAACUUGCAACACUUUACUGUUGUUGUAGUGAAGAAUGAAAAGUUAUCAAACUUGCAACACUUUACUGUUGUUGUAGUGAAGAAUGAAAAGUUGUAUAACUUUGAUUAAUGUUGAAUAUCACAUAAAAUAAUGAAGUGUACUUGAUAAAAUUUUUUAAAUUCACCAGUUUGGAAAUCUUUAUGAAAUCUUAAAAUUGUUUAAUCUUGUUAAACAAUUUAUAUCCUAGUCUUUGUUCAGUUUUGUUUGAUUUAUGAAAACAUAUUAUGAUAUACAUCCAGGUAUAAUCAAUUAGCUAGUUAUAUUAUUUGUUAUUUACCUUAGUGGUGAAAAAAGUUGUUCGACUGGUGCAGUUGAUAAUGAUAUUGGCAGAAUUAGUAAGUAAACUUAUCAUUCGUAAUGUUUUUAAUAUUGCUGGGUUUUGUACAUGGUAUUAAUUUAAGUAUAGGUUUAUUUUCUAUCUGAAGGAAACAAUAAAAAAAAGCAGUUAACAUAUUUUGUUGUACGGAUUAGUGCUGAAUGUAUUUAAUAAUUUUUCAAAGUCUGGUUUCAUCAUUUUAAAGUUCAUGAAUUCAAAUGUAUUAGAGCCAGCCGUUAGGCAUUUUUGUUUGGAUAUAUUACAUUUUCAUAAAAUGCUUAUACUAAUUUCUAUUCUUUUAGCGGGGGGGGGAUCCUUUUCUCCUGUAAUAAAUGCUCCUUUUGCUAUCAUUUUGUAAUCACUUCUAUCAGUGUUGCACUCUAUGUAAAAUUUCAUUUGAUGCUGAUAACUUAAUGUUGGUGUGUAAAUGUUUGUGGUGAUGAAUGUAGAUACUAACAUAAUGAAGUUGGCUAAAUUCAUCAUUAUUCUGAGCAUUCAUUCUGUUAAAAACUGAAAAGACCAAAAUAGAAAUCUUUUAUUGUAUCACAAAUUACCAAAUGGCUAAUUUUUCCCUUGUGUAGUUUUGAAAAUGUUUUUGGCCUACUUUUUUACAUUUAUUGCACAUGCCCAUUCAAGAACAAGAUUUAUUUUUUUUUUCCCAGAAAUUUUAAAAUUUAAAUCUGUGGCCGAAGAACUUCAUUACUUGAUCAAGGUUCGUAUGGCCCUUAAGAGUCCUUAGAUUUUUUUUUUUUUUUUUUUUUUUUGCAAUCUAUUUUUGGUUCUUAAAAGUCCUUAAUUUCAGCCAAAAUCAGCAGAAAGGCCUUAAUUUUAAUCAUCUGAAAUUUCUGUAUGUUUUUACAACUGUCAUUUUGAGAGUGAAUUAGGAGUACUUAAAAGUACUUAAUUUCCAUGUGCAGAAAUGUGUACGAACCAUGCUUGGGGUAAAAAAUAUCACACUGACAGAUUAAGAGACACACAGGGGUUGAAAGGUGUAAUCACCACAAUACUCAGGCACAAGGCCCAACCUCUAUCAAAAUUGAUUGUAAACUUUUUAAGUUAUUCUCAUGCGAAAAUGAUUUAGUUAUAAAACACUAAAUUAUAAAAUUAGUUUAAUAUUGUGAUAGUUUACUAGCAUGACAACACUUCGCAGAAUUUGAAGAAAUGAAAAGCUGAAUUAGCUGAUCAGAAAACAGGUGUAGUUCAUUGCUCAAAAUGCUCGAAAGAAGAACACAGGUUAAUAUUAAAAAUGCAGUCACACCGAGGGCUUUUGAAGAACUACAUGAUGCAGGACGUAAGAUAAAUCUGUGAUCAGAAUAGGCAACCAAGAAAUAUAUUAUUAUAGAAAGAUAAAUGUCAGUUACAUAAGUGACAUGGCAUUAUGUAAGGUUAUUAAGAAUGUUUCUUUCUUGACAUUUUCUGGAGAGCUAUAGUUAUAGUCAGUGCUGUAAAUAUAGGUAUGCAAAGCAAUUCAGACAUGAUAGAUGUGGAGACAAAUGUUAUGUUUUUCCUGGGUGAAAUAGCUGAGGCCUCAAUGCCUGAAAUCUGUGGAAUUGCUAGAGUGUAAUGGGGAAUACAUUUCGACCUCCUCUAGAACUACUAUGAUUCUUGGAUCUGUUGUUUCUAUAGACAGAAUAGUUAAGCACAAAGAUUGGAGCAUAUGGGCUAAGCUUAUGUUCUUCUAUGAACUUAAUAUCAUGAGAGUACUAAUUUAUAAUGUCCUGAAGUUCAUUUUAUUUACAAGACAAUCUAUGUAAAUAACACAUAAAGAUUUGUGAAGUUUACUAGACAUUCAAGAUUUUCAGAACUUAAAACGUCUUUGAAUAUAACGAAGAAAAUAAACAGUUUAUCGGCUGAGUUUUCUGCACCCUGAAGGUAGAUAAUUUUACAAAGACUUUUUUUAAUGAUAUUUACAAUCUUAAAUAUGUCAGGAAAUUCUUUGAGGAGUUUGAAGAUGUCAGACAAAGCCCUAAAAGCCCUGACCCAUCAGUUUCAGUGCAGUUCUUAGCAGCAUUUGCACAUAACAUGUUAAGAGUGACAGCAGUAUAUUUAAUGCCUGUAAUCGACUUUUCUAAGGAGUUAUUUGUGAUACCAGGUUUACUACGAGCAACUUUGGGGACUGAUUUGUUGGAAAUUUCAGAAACCCGCGAUAAUCUGCAUCAUGUCCCAUUUGUUGAUAAUUAUAGCAUUUUACAUUAUGUAUUCCCAUAUCAACACAAUCAAAGCUUUGUGGGCAGAUAAGCUUAGUACUGUAUUGCUUUAAUUUGGAUGUGUCAGGUGAAUGUUUGAAGUGCUAGCAAUUGUGGCAUUGUGAAACACCUCCUUUAACUUUAUACGACACAACAGAUAUAGAAAAAUACAGUUUUGUACAUCCGCUCAACACGAGGCUCAUUAAUUCUAUUUGUAAAAAAAGGGAGAGGAACCUUUGUAUUGAUUCAAAAUAUUUGUGAGACUUUUUUUCACUUGGAAGCCUCGGUUUUUGAACUCUUUUGUAAUGUUCUCAGUGGAACAGUCUGGUUGUAGAUCAUUGAAAAUUAGUUUAAUCGUCCUCUCAAAUUUGCUUGUAAUCACAUAAAGAUCAAUUUGGUGUUCACCAAAGUAGUUAGUGAUUCCCCUGGGGCAUCUUUUGUUUUAGGGGUAAGCCUUUAGAAAUUAUCCGUUUACUCAGCUAGUAAAUUCUGUGAAGUGAAUAUUCAAACACAAAGCCUAUUUUCUGUUGAAACUGAUUGUGAAAUUUAUAAUUGUUCUCAAGUCCAAGUGAUUUAGGUGUAAAAAUACUAAAUUUCAAAAUUUGUUCAAUACAUAGAUACGAAGAUACUGUGGUGAUGAGUCACGGUAAGCGAUAAAGAAAUGUGCAUUGUUGCUGAUAAAUAUGGUAACCCUAAGGAGACAUUUGUAGAAGUGUGGAAAAUAGAGUUUAUCCUGUAUGUGCUCAUAUUUGAAGUCUUGAAAUAAAGACACAUUUUUAUUGUGUAUUUUAUCUGGUUGAAAUUCUCGAUAAAUGUUGUGAAUGUUAUUUAAUGUGCUACGGACAACAAAGAUCUGCCUCAUACCAUGAUAACUUUUCAUUAUGGUACGAGCAGAGCAUACCAUAAUGAAAGUAUUUAUGUCAUACUAAGGAUUAUAGCAUCACACUGAACAUUUCUGAAUGAAGUUUUGCGAAAUAUU
Long non-coding RNA from Stegodyphus dumicola, 5537 nucleotides. The record is from RefSeq and is a predicted model, not a curated record. NCBI's taxonomy places the organism in Eukaryota, Metazoa, Arthropoda, Arachnida, Araneae, Eresidae.